GAUGAACGCUAGCUACAGGCUUAACACAUGCAAGUCGAGGGGAAACGGCAUUAAGUGCUUGCACUUUUUGGACGUCGACCGGCGCACGGGUGAGUAACGCGUAUCCAACCUUCCCAUGACUAAGGGAUAACCUGCCGAAAGGCAGACUAAUACCUUAUGGUCUUCACUGACGGCAUCAGAUGUGAAGUAAAGAUUUAUCGGUUAUGGAUGGGGAUGCGUCUGAUUAGUUAGUUGGCGGGGUAACGGCCCACCAAGGCAACGAUCAGUAGGGGUUCUGAGAGGAAGGUCCCCCACAUUGGAACUGAGACACGGUCCAAACUCCUACGGGAGGCAGCAGUGAGGAAUAUUGGUCAAUGGACGAGAGCCUGAACCAGCCAAGUAGCGUGCAGGAUGACGGCCCUAUGGGUUGUAAACUGCUUUU
RNAcentral lists this ribosomal RNA (421 nucleotides) under Prevotella sp. oral taxon 298. Its description in RNAcentral is "bacterial SSU rRNA". It matches the Rfam family "Bacterial small subunit ribosomal RNA", at positions 28 to 437 of the family's 1533-position model. The record is from RNAcentral. Lineage: Bacteria; Pseudomonadati; Bacteroidota; Bacteroidia; Bacteroidales; Prevotellaceae.